AGAAAGUCGCCCCUCAUCUCUCAUCUCUGCUCUCCCUUCGCAUUUGACGCUGAAAUCUGUUCUCUCUGCCUUGCUCUGCCUUCGUACCAAAAACACUGAUCUGCUACCAAAAACCAGGACAAUGUGGCAGAUUGUGUUUGUUGGUGGAGUUUACAACACAGGAUGCUACUUUUACGAACUUAUUUUCUCAAAAAUUCACUAAUCUGAUCGUCAAGCUGGACCACUACUUUCUGUAAUCUUUGUGUGGAACAGAUUCAACUUGCUAAUUCCAUUUGGGGGGAUAAGAAUUAGUAGUUGUCUUUUUUUUAUAAUAUCCU
This is a long non-coding RNA of Quercus lobata, 317 nucleotides long. RefSeq lists it as uncharacterized. The record is from RefSeq and is a predicted model, not a curated record. The transcript has 3 exons. Lineage: Eukaryota; Viridiplantae; Streptophyta; Magnoliopsida; Fagales; Fagaceae.